This 497-nucleotide ribosomal RNA is filed under the name uncultured bacterium. RNAcentral describes it as "partial 16S ribosomal RNA". It matches the Rfam family "Bacterial small subunit ribosomal RNA", at positions 28 to 507 of the family's 1533-position model. The record is from RNAcentral.
GAUGAACGCUGGCGGCGUGCCUAAUACAUGCAAGUCGAGCGAACAGACGAGGAGCUUGCUCCUCUGACGUUAGCAACGGACGGGUGAGUAGCACGUGGAUAACCUACCUCUAAGGCUUAAGUAACGUCGGGAAGCCGGAGCUCAUACCGGGUGAUAUAUUGAGCCGGAUGGUUCAAUAGUGAAAGCGGGUUAUGCUGACACUUCGAGCUAGCUGCGCGCGGCAUUAGCAAGUUGGUACGGUAACGGCUUACCAAGGCAACGAUGCGUAGCCGACCUGAGAGGGUGAUGGCGCCCACUGGAAGUGAGACACGGUCCAGACUCCUACGGGAGGCAGCAGUAGCGAAUCGUGCGCAAUGGGCGAAAUCCUGACGGAGCAACGCCGCGUUAGUGAUGAAGGUCUGCGUAUCGUAAAACUCUGUUAUUAUUGAAGAACAAAUGUGUAAGUAACUAUGCAUGUUGUGACGGUACCUAAUCAGAAAGCCACGGCUAACUACGUG